GGUGGGAAGGCCUGCCCGCUGGCGCUGCUACUUCUCGCUCUCUCUCGUAAAGGGCCACAGGAACGACUGUAUUGUCCAGGUUGUUUUUGCAGGGCAUGAACAGAAGCCCUUUACCCUCAUGCUUUAAAACCAGGUGGAUUAGUUGCUUAAGUCUGCAGUAAUCAAACACUUGCCGAGCCAGCUUUGACCCAACUUGUCGCUGUCUUUUGGGAAUUGUGGCCACAGUAGCCCAGGUGAAAUAGAAACGGUAACUUGCUUAAGUUUGCAUCCUCACAUGUGGUGAGGACUCCGGGGUCUCUGUGAGCCUGGCAGCAGAGGCAACAUCAGCACCAGUAUGCAUGAUUAAAAGACCCCAGAUCUGGAGGAGGCAGAUGACCCGGAGGUAUGGGGCAGGGGGAGGUUAGGCCUGAGACUGCCAUGUCUUAGCCUGGAUAACUGGACUUCCUUGAACUGUAAGAAAACUUAGGAGGAAGCGAGUAUCAAAAGGAAAACGUGACCAGAUGGAAGUAUAAGCCGAACUACAUGAGUUGACUAGAGAACGAGGUCCUGGCCUUAGCCAAGCAAUGCUAGGACUCAAAAGGAGAGAUGGACCUUUGCUUGUUUCCCUGACAAGAGUCCAACCUCACAAGCCAAACAUCCAGCCUUGGUCUGAUCACGUGAGGCAGCAUUUCUAUUUCAAAGGAGCAUUUGGCUAAAGAAGAAUUUGUGCUGGGUUUGCUGGCAGGAAAUGCUGCCAAACUGGGCUUUCCUGUGUCCUGCUGGGCUGCUCUCUGCAGUUUGCUGCUCCAGACUAUCUCCAACUGUCCUCCCAUGGCCGAGAGGAGGUUUAUUUGCUGGACCCCUGCCUCCCCAGACCAGCUUGGAAAGGAGAACAUGGCCCUAAGGAGAGUAAAGAGACAAAAGGCUUUUAUUCCUCACCGCAGAGCACCCUGGGGCUGGGACAGAAUCCCUAACCUGGAGAACACUUCUAAAUUAUUUCAUAGAAAGCAAGAACUGAGGAAAAGGAGGUAAAAUUUAAAAGCAUCUUUAGAAAUCUCUUGACAAAAUAGUCACAUUUUAAACCUGGCCCUUCUUCCCUAGACAUACCCAGAAAAAAACCUAUCCUUUCGUUCCAAAAAAAGCUAUCCAGCUGGCAGCAGCUUUUUGCAGGAUUUGCCAGAAAGGGAGAGAUACUUGGUUACUGUGUCCAUUCAACCUGCUGCUUUGUAUAAAAACCCCAAACCCUGGGCAUUUGCAAAAACAUGACUACAGAGACUGGUGCAAUGCUGAGUGAGUAGCCAGCCAGCACUAGGCACAGCCCUGCACUGACAUGAAGAGCAUUAGAAAUAAGGCCUAAUUUCUCAGGUGCUCCUAACCAUCUUCAAAGGGAAAUACUUAGCUUCUGCAAUGGAGGGAAUAAGGCCUGUGAAAAAGCACUGGCAAGCAGCACAUCACGGAGAGGAGUCACAACAACACACUCUAAAUACAUAAGCAGGCUGCUCUCUAUGUCCACUGGGAAUGGGAAAAGAUGUUAUCAGCUUAAAGGGGAUCAAAGGAUAUUUAGAUCGGAUGUUAGAAAUACCUUUCAUCCCAGUCCCUCCCUCGCUGUACCUCUACAGAUUGCCUGGAGAUGGUGUGGAGUAUCCCUCACUGGCAGUGCUUAAGAAUAAGAUGAGCAGAUGCUGGCCGUGAAAGGCACACACAUAGAUAGGCCAUCCGGGGGAUGGACUCUGCCUGCCUCAGGUCUCUUCUACAUCUAUUUUCUGUGAGAUUAAGCAGGCAGAAUUUAUAAUAAUGUUUUGACGAAUCUCAAUAGAUAUUGUAAAAACCUCCUCAGCUUUUUUGUUGCACCAGCUGCACAGUUCCUCUGUUCUGUGUAACGCUAGCCCUAAUUUGUAUCCACCAAACCGAAAAUUGCAGCAUGUAGUUGUCAAAACCAGCAUUCAAAUCCACACUCACAAAAGAUGUCUUUCUCAAAAACACACAAAACAUCCUACAGAAAUUCUGCCAGAAAAAGCUAUCAGCUUCACUUUCCAAACUAACAGAGGAAGGACCAGAACAUAGAAUUUAUUUUUGCUAUUUAGCAAGACAUUCUGAUAUUCGAAAAUCCCAUUUAUCCUGAACCUGGAACUGUUGCAAUUCUGAGUACCUACAAGCAGUGAAUGAAAUCAGAGUCUAAAGGAUUCAUUUACACCUCAUCUGGUCAAAAAUUCCACUGAAUGGACACAGCGCAUUUGUUUCAAAAGUGCAGUAAUACUCUUAGCAAUAUGGUAAACCACAAAUUAGAUCAUGAUGCUAAAUGAAUCAUUGAGGAAGAGCUCUUAUCAGUUUCCUGAAUGGAAACUUGACACUCUGCCAUAUCCCAUGCUUUGCUUCUUUUUUUAAAUAAAAUUGAAAAUUAACAUUUAAUGGUGAUGAGCAGUACUUGGGCUGAAAUUUCACUAGCUAAGGUUUUAAUCUUUAUCAGACCCUUAAAUGUUAGUCCAAGAAUUGCCUCUGAGUCUAAUCUAUUACCAAAGCCAGUAAAUGCCCAAAGUGACUGCUUUGCACUAGAAAAUUGUUAUUAAAAAAUCCUAACAGUUACUUAAAAUGGGGUCUCUCUUUCAGGGGGUUGCAAGGGGUUUCCUGUGUAAGAAUAGGAACCAAGCACCCAAAACAAUGUGACCUUCUGCAGAAAUACUAAAAUAAAAUCUAUCUAUCUAUCUAUCUCCUGCGUGAGCUUUUUACAAGCAGAUACGCUCCAACCUCAACUAUCUCAUGCUCCUGAGGUGAAGAACCUCAAGGGGGCAUGAAACAAGCCACUCUGAGUUGUGGCCUUGCAUGCAGUCUGGACAGAGGAAUGCAGUUUAAGCCUAUCACUAAGUAUUCUCAUUAACCUGGAGUUAUCAAAUGCAUCUGGAGUUAACCAAUCUGCAUUUGCCUUUCAUAGCUCUCCAAGACAUCCUUCUGUCUUUUAGAUUGGAAGAGUGAGUAGAAAUGAAGGAGAAGAAGAGAUGUUGUCUUAUGGGGGAAAUCUGCUCCACACCAA
Non-coding RNA from Struthio camelus australis, 3007 nucleotides. Lineage: Eukaryota; Metazoa; Chordata; Aves; Struthioniformes; Struthionidae. The record is from RefSeq and is a predicted model, not a curated record.